Molecule: ribosomal RNA, 455 nt
Filed under: uncultured bacterium
Lineage: Bacteria
Description: bacterial SSU rRNA
Rfam family: Bacterial small subunit ribosomal RNA
Source: RNAcentral
UACGGAAGGCAGCAGUGGGGAAUAUUGCACAAUGGGCGAAAGCCUGAUGCAGCGUAUGCCGCGUGUAUGAAGAAGGCCUUAGGGUUGUAAAGUACUUUCAUCGGGGAGGAAAAACAAAACUAAUAAUUUUAUUUCUUGACGUUACCCGAAAAAGAAGCACCGGCUAACUCCGUGCCAGCAGCCGCGGUAAUACGGAGGGUGCUAGCGUUAAUCAGAAUUACUGGGCGUAAAGAGCACGUAGGUGGUUUUUUUAAGUCAGAUGUGAAAUCCCUGGGCUUAACCUGGAACUGCAUUUUGAAACUGAAAUACUAGAGUAUCGUAGAGGGAGGUAGAAUUCUAGGUGUAGCGGUGAAAUGCGUAGAUAUCUGGAGGAAUACCUGUGGCGAAAGCGGCCUCCUAAACGAAUACUGACACUGAGGUGCGAAAGCGUGGGGAGCAAACAGGGAUUAGAUACC